UCGUGGGGGAUAACGUAGCGAAAGUUACGCUAAUACCGCAUACGAUCUACGGAUGAAAGCGGGGGAUCGCAAGACCUCGCGCGAUUGGAGCGGCCGAUGGCAGAUUAGGUAGUUGGUGGGGUAAAGGCCUACCAAGCCGACGAUCUGUAGCUGGUCUGAGAGGACGACCAGCCACACUGGGACUGAGACACGGCCCAGACUCCUACGGGAGGCAGCAGUGGGGAAUUUUGGACAAUGGGCGCAAGCCUGAUCCAGCCAUUCCGCGUGCAGGAUGAAGGCCCUCGGGUUGUAAACUGCUUUUGUACGGAACGAAAAGGCCUAGGCUAAUACCUUGGGCUCAUGACGGUACCGUAAGAAUAAG
This 361-nucleotide ribosomal RNA is filed under the name uncultured bacterium. Its description in RNAcentral is "bacterial SSU rRNA". It matches the Rfam family "Bacterial small subunit ribosomal RNA", at positions 134 to 490 of the family's 1533-position model. The record is from RNAcentral.